GGGGACGACUGGUUUUGACAGCAAGGUUUGUUAAUAUGUAAGCAUAUCAAGGAAUGAAAUUAUUCUUGUAAAACUUAUUUCAACUUUUUAAACGGCGAAGAUAACUACGCUUUAGCUGCUUAAUCCGAAUCACAGUAGGAUUAGCCUCGGCACACAAGGUGUGCAAGCUUUAUGUCCACGAAAAGCCCUGGUUUACGGCGUUUCACUUUUGGGCAUCGUAAAUGUAAACAUAGAAAACUUGAAGCUUUGGCAAGUUUUUAAAACAAAAAAGAUAAGUCUAAAAUGGAUUGUUCUUAAUCAGCUUUAGAUCGAAAAUCAAGAAAGAACUAUAUAUGUAGAAAGCUUAUUUACUUCUUGUUUGGACCCGAGUUCGAUUCUCGGCGUCUCCACCA
This 392-nucleotide transfer-messenger RNA is filed under the name Polaribacter sp. SA4-10. Its description in RNAcentral is "transfer-messenger RNA, SsrA". It matches the Rfam family "transfer-messenger RNA". Rfam says of the family: Bacterial tmRNA, also known as 10Sa RNA or SsrA, is named for its dual tRNA and mRNA-like properties. Its role is to liberate the mRNA from a stalled ribosome. To accomplish this part of the tmRNA is used as a reading frame that ends in a translation stop signal. The record is from RNAcentral. RNAcentral also lists the same sequence under 1 other name. Lineage: Bacteria; Pseudomonadati; Bacteroidota; Flavobacteriia; Flavobacteriales; Flavobacteriaceae.